AUCAGUCUCUCACACGAGUUAAGGAACGUAUUCCUUAUAAUAGUAACAAACAACAAAACAAUCUUUUGUUUCAGUAAAUAGAAUGCAUCAAAACAACCUUGAGUUGGAACAACUGAAAUGCACUAUCACUAAAACAAACAAUCCCAAACAAAGAAGUAACAAAACAACAUUGAGUUUGAAUACCACGACAACCUUAUCUUAAAACAAAGAAAUUAUAUCUAAGCUAACAAUAUAUAUGUAAACAAACCUAAACAAAUAAUUAAUCUGUAUGUAGACAAACUAUCAACUAUUUAGUAAUAAGUAAAUAUACUAGUUAGUAUAAAUAGAAGUAAGAACGAUGUAAUAAGUCAGUCUUAAGAGUAUAAAUAAAGAGUACACAUUUCGGUGCAGCUCAAAAUAUAUUCUUUUGACUCAUUUUUACUUCUGGUAAAAAUUAACUGGGGGCUCAACCGGGAUGGCAAAUUUAUUUGCUAUCCAAAAAGCCAGAUUUUAUUCCGAAAGGACUAAAUCAAAAAAUUCCACAGGAAGUAGGACUUUCAGCACUAAAUGCCUGAAAAAAGUGCAGAAACAAAUGGCAAUGAAUCAGAUCCUGAAAAAACGGACAGCGGCGAAUUCAGCAAGGUUCACAACAGACCCUGGAACAGCGGACAGCGACAAUUCCUGAAAAAGUGGAACAAGGUAAAAAAGUAUAGGUCCUGAAAUAAUGGAUAAUACUUUCACCAAUAUUCGCAAUAGACCCUGAAAAAGCGGACAACGUUGAAUCCUGAAACAUUUUACAGUUAAUUAUAAGUUAGGAAGAAGCAAAGAUGCCCCAACUCCAAGCACAAGUAAACUGCAUUGAUGGUAAUUAUAAACAAGCAACAAGAGGAAUUUAUACAAAGAUUAUCCUCAAUCAAAAAGUGAAAAUUUCCACAAGCAACACCAAUUACCCAAAAAAGGCACCGAAAACAAGGCAAGCCAAAAUGGUAAAUUGUUGUUGAAUUCUAGAAAAUUAUCGCUAAUUCAAAACUAACUAAAAGGAAACGUUAUAUGUAACACGAAAAAAUCAUUAAGUAUAGAUAUGUAUUAAUUAUAAACAUAAAAAAUCAAACACAUACGAAAGGUAAAAAUGUUCACAAACACAGCCAAUAAUUCCAAAAAAAAGGCACCGAAAACAAUGCAAGCCAAAAAGGAAAAUGGUUGUUGAAUUGUAGAAAAUUGACGCUAAUUAAAAACUAAAUUAUAAGAAAAAAGAAAGUGGUUGAAUUGUAGAAAAUUUAAGCGAAUUAAAAAUUAAAUUAUAAUAGAAAAGAAAGCAUCAUAAGAAACAUGCAAAAACAAUAACAAGCCCAGAUGUUUUGAAAUGAGGACAUUUCAUUUUAACAUAGGGGAGAGUUAAGGAACGUAUUCCUUAUAAUAGUAACAAACAACAAAACAAUCUUUUGUUUCAGUAAAUAGAAUGCAUCAAAACAACCUUGAGUUGGAACAACUGAAAUGCACUAUCACUAAAACAAACAAUCCCAAACAAAGAAGUAACAAAACAACAUUGAGUUUGAAUACCACGACAACCUUAUCUUAAAACAAAGAAAUUAUAUCUAAGCUAACAAUAUAUAUGUAAACAAACCUAAACAAAUAAUUAAUCUGUAUGUAGACAAACUAUCAACUAUUUAGUAAUAAGUAAAUAUACUAGUUAGUAUAAAUAGAAGUAAGAACGAUGUAAUAAGUCAGUCUUAAGAGUAUAAAUAAAGAGUACACAUUUCGGUGCAGCUCAAAAUA
Long non-coding RNA from Bactrocera dorsalis (oriental fruit fly), 1755 nucleotides. RefSeq lists it as uncharacterized. NCBI's taxonomy places the organism in Eukaryota, Metazoa, Arthropoda, Insecta, Diptera, Tephritidae. The record is from RefSeq and is a predicted model, not a curated record. The transcript is spliced from 2 exons.